Molecule: long non-coding RNA, 720 nt
Filed under: Nicotiana benthamiana
Lineage: Eukaryota; Viridiplantae; Streptophyta; Magnoliopsida; Solanales; Solanaceae
Description: long non-coding RNA (NBEN_LNC042047)
Source: RNAcentral
CCAACUAUAGAUAUGUAGCUCCAUAAUCUUUUUUAUUAUGGUAACACUCACCAGAUAUUCAGCAGCAAGUUUGAAGCGAUUCAACUCAAAUCUUCAGAUUUAAACAUUUAUAUAGAAAUUAAAUGAAGAAGAUCUAGCAGUAAAUCACAAUGAAUACACAAAAAUUAGACAUUGAUUCAUCAGACAAUUCAGGCUUUCAUUCAUACAAUUAAUAGAAGAUUACAAGUGAACAAUCACGUAACAAGCAACAGAUGAAACAAACUUCAAAAUCAAAUAAGGGCCAGAAACUUUCGGGAUGAAAUUCAGCUGUAACGGAUCCGAAAUAAGCAGAUAAAAAGCUAUUAACUCGACUUCCACAGAUUGUACAAACCAGAAAAGAAGAAGUUGAGUUUUGAAAUCAAUUCUUUCUUCAAUGUUCCUUUAGAAAUUCCGAUUCUUCUUCUUUUUUUUCUUCUUCAAGCUUUUGUGAUUUUUCAUCUUCAUUUCCAAAUAGGGGAUUGUGUGAAGGUGAGAGAUAGAUUAAAGGUGGUAGUUAGCUGGUGGAGAUGGAGAAGGAAAUGGCUGUUCACGUUUUUUCUUUGAAGAAUGGGCGUCCGAUUUCUUUGUUGAAGAUGGAGAGAGCGUCCUUAGGUUAGAGGAUUGGAGAGGGUCCAAUUAGGAGCGCGAUAAAUAUUAGAUGCUGAAAAAUACUUUUAAGUGCUAAAAUUAAUUUACAAAAUA